RNAcentral lists this ribosomal RNA (277 nucleotides) under Escherichia coli. Its description in RNAcentral is "partial 23S ribosomal RNA". It matches the Rfam family "Bacterial large subunit ribosomal RNA", at positions 2028 to 2304 of the family's 2925-position model. Lineage: Bacteria; Pseudomonadati; Pseudomonadota; Gammaproteobacteria; Enterobacterales; Enterobacteriaceae. The record is from RNAcentral.
GAGACUCAGUGAAAUUGAACUCGCUGUGAAGAUGCAGUGUACCCGCGGCAAGACGGAAAGACCCCGUGAACCUUUACUAUAGCUUGACACUGAACAUUGAGCCUUGAUGUGUAGGAUAGGUGGGAGGCUUUGAAGUGUAGACGCCAGUCUGCAUGGAGCCGACCUUGAAAUACCACCCUUUAAUGUUUGAUGUUCUAACGUGGACCCGUAAUCCGGGUUGCGGACAGUGUCUGGUGGGUAGUUUGACUGGGGCGGUCUCCUCCUAAAGAGUAACGGA